UGCAGAUGUUGUGUUCAGUGUUGCACCA
RNAcentral lists this non-coding RNA (28 nucleotides) under Rattus norvegicus (Norway rat). Lineage: Eukaryota; Metazoa; Chordata; Mammalia; Rodentia; Muridae. The record is from RNAcentral.